GGGGUUGUGGCUCAGUGGUAGAGUAUUUACCUGGAAUGUGUGAGGCACUGGGUUCAAUUCUCAGCACCA
RNAcentral lists this transfer RNA (69 nucleotides) under Ictidomys tridecemlineatus (thirteen-lined ground squirrel). RNAcentral's name for it is "Spermophilus tridecemlineatus (thirteen-lined ground squirrel) tRNA". It matches the Rfam family "tRNA". From Rfam's summary of the family: Transfer RNA (tRNA) molecules are approximately 80 nucleotides in length. Lineage: Eukaryota; Metazoa; Chordata; Mammalia; Rodentia; Sciuridae. The record is from Rfam by way of RNAcentral.